This 404-nucleotide long non-coding RNA is filed under the name Helianthus annuus (common sunflower). RNAcentral describes it as "hypothetical non coding rna". Lineage: Eukaryota; Viridiplantae; Streptophyta; Magnoliopsida; Asterales; Asteraceae. The record is from RNAcentral.
UUCUCUGAAAGUUCGGCCCGGAGAUUCGCUGAGUUAUGGUUUCCCUAAAUUAUUGAAUUUAUGCCUAUUUUAUAAUGGUUGGUGCCUGGUAAGAGGAGGAGCCAGUUGAUUUGUGUAGUACGCAUCAAGCAUUGUACUUCAUGUGUGGACUUGCAUGGGUUUUUGCUAGCUGUACCUGUACUUGUUCCUCCACCUCGUACUUAUUGUACUCUUUUAUCUUUUGUACUACAAAUUAUGUAUAUUUCUCGUCAGUUGACUUGUAUCCAAAAUAAUUAUAUGUAUAGUUCUCUUCCCAAGAAAAAAUGAAAUUUUUUAAUAAUUAUAUAACCUUUUCUAGAUAAAGAAUUUCAAUUCAACUUAAAAUGCCAAAGUAUGAUGCUAGUAGAACACAGGUUGAAGUAUGA